GUUGGAGGCCAAACUUCCUUGUCAAUGCCCAGUCUCGUCUAAUCUCUGAAGCUAAGCAGGGCCCAGCCUGUUUAGUACUUGGAUAGGAGACCACUGGGAAUACCAUGUCCCACA
RNAcentral lists this ribosomal RNA (114 nucleotides) under Periophthalmus magnuspinnatus. Lineage: Eukaryota; Metazoa; Chordata; Actinopteri; Gobiiformes; Gobiidae. The record is from RNAcentral.